CCUACGGGAGGCAGCAGUGAGGAAUAUUGGUCAAUGGACGCGAGUCUGAACCAGCCAAGUCGCGUGAAGGAUGACUGCCCUAUGGGUUGUAAACUUCUUUUGUAAAGGAAUAAAACGAGGCACGUGUGCCUUUUUGCAUGUACUUUAUGAAUAAGGAUCGGCUAACUCCGUGCCAGCAGCCGCGGUAAUCCGGAGGAUCCGAGCGUUAUCCGGAUUUAUUGGGUUUAAAUGGAGCGUAGAUGGGUUGUUAAGUCAGUUGUUAAAGUUUGCGGCUCAACCGUAGAAUUGCAUUUGAUACUGGCAGUCUUGAGUACAGUUGAGGUAGGCGGAAUGCGUGGUGUAGCGGUGAAAUGCUUAGAUAUCACGAAGAACUCCGAUUGCGAAGGCAGCUUACUAAACUGUGACUGACACUGAUGCUCGAAAGUGUGGGUAUCAAACAGGAUUAGAUACCCGGGUAGUC
Molecule: ribosomal RNA, 460 nt
Filed under: uncultured bacterium
Lineage: Bacteria
Description: partial 16S ribosomal RNA
Rfam family: Bacterial small subunit ribosomal RNA
Source: RNAcentral